This 325-nucleotide ribosomal RNA is filed under the name uncultured eukaryote. Its description in RNAcentral is "partial 18S ribosomal RNA". It matches the Rfam family "Eukaryotic small subunit ribosomal RNA", at positions 1470 to 1796 of the family's 1831-position model. The record is from RNAcentral.
CCCUUAGAUGUCCUGGGCCGCACGCGCGCUACACUGAUGCAUUCAACGAGUUUUACCUUGGCCGAGAGGCCUGGGCAAUCUUUUAAACCUGCAUCGUGAUAGGGAUAGAUUAUUGCAAUUAUUAAUCUUGAACGAGGAAUUCCUAGUAAACGCAGAUCAUCAAUCUGCAUUGAUUACGUCCCUGCCCCUUGUACACACCGCCCGUCGCACCUACCGAUUGAAUGGUCCGGUGAAGCCUCGGGAUUGUGGCCAGUUCACUUUAUUGGGAGUUGGCUGCGAGAACUUGUCUAAACCUUAUCAUUUAGAGGAAGGUGAAGUCGUAACA